This 65-nucleotide transfer RNA is filed under the name Dipodomys ordii (Ord's kangaroo rat). It matches the Rfam family "tRNA". From Rfam's summary of the family: Transfer RNA (tRNA) molecules are approximately 80 nucleotides in length. Their secondary structure includes four short double-helical elements and three loops (D, anti-codon, and T loops). The record is from Rfam by way of RNAcentral. Lineage: Eukaryota; Metazoa; Chordata; Mammalia; Rodentia; Heteromyidae.
GGUGGCUCAGUGGUAGAGUGCUUGCUUUGCAUGCAUGAGGCCCGGGGUUCGAUUCCUUAGUACCA